Molecule: RNase P RNA, 443 nt
Filed under: Verrucomicrobiia bacterium DG1235
Lineage: Bacteria; Pseudomonadati; Verrucomicrobiota; Verrucomicrobiia
Description: Verrucomicrobiae bacterium DG1235 Bacterial RNase P class A
Rfam family: Bacterial RNase P class A
About the family: Ribonuclease P (RNase P) is a ubiquitous endoribonuclease, found in archaea, bacteria and eukarya as well as chloroplasts and mitochondria. Its best characterised activity is the generation of mature 5'-ends of tRNAs by cleaving the 5'-leader elements of precursor-tRNAs.
Source: Rfam by way of RNAcentral
UUUCGGAGCCGCGCGUUCGCUCCGUUGUUCUUUUUAGAGUCUACGGGGAGGAAAGUCCGGACGCCAUAGGGCGGGAUUCCUCGCGAAAGCGGGGGAGGGUCGUUUCAAGGCGACCCGACGGCCAGUGCCACAGAGAAUAUACCGCCCUCCUUCGCCAUGGCUUCGGCGGGCAGGCCCUCGAUUUGAGGAUCUGUUUGGUGAAGGAAGGUAAGGGUGAAAAGGUGGGGUAAGAGCCCACCGCGGUUCAGGUAACUGGACUGGCAGGGUAAACCCAUUCCGGCGCAAGGCAAAAUAGGGGACCUGGACUGCCCGUCCAUUAAGGGUCCCGGGUAUGCCGCGUCACUUCGCAAGAAGGGGCUCUCGCUUCGGCGAGGCGCAGAUAAAUGAACGCGAUUCUGGUUUCGGCCAGAAUACAGGAUCCGGCUUACAGGCUCCGAAACUAG